GUGCACCAGUCGAGAAUCUUCCACAAUGGACGAAAGUCUGAUGGAGCGACGCCGCGUGCGGGAUGAAGGCCUUAUGGGUUGUAAACCGCUGUCAGGGGGGAAGAACAUCGGAAUGAACAAUACUCAUUCCGACUGACGUUACCCCCAGAGGAAGCUCCGGCCAACUCCGUGCCAGCAGCCGCGGUAAUACGGGGGGAGCAAGCGUUGUCCGGAAUUAUUGGGCGUAAAGGGCGUGUAGGCGGCGAGGUAAGUCGAAUGUGAAAUCUCACGGCUCAACCGUGAAACUGCGUUCGAAACUACCCUGCUUGAGUACGGGAGAGGUGUACGGAAUUCCUGGUGUAGCGGUGGAAUGG
Molecule: ribosomal RNA, 353 nt
Filed under: uncultured microorganism
Description: bacterial SSU rRNA
Rfam family: Bacterial small subunit ribosomal RNA
Source: RNAcentral